UGGCGGACGGGUGAGUAACGCGUGGGUAACCUGCCUCAUACAGGGGGAUAACGGUUAGAAAUGACUGCUAAUACCGCAUAAGCGCACAGUACCGCAUGGUACAGUGUGAAAAACUCCGGUGGUAUGAGAUGGACCCGCGUCUGAUUAGCUAGUUGGUGGGGUAACGGCCCACCAAGGCGACGAUCAGUAGCCGACCUGAGAGGGUGACCGGCCACAUUGGGACUGAGACACGGCCCAG
This 238-nucleotide ribosomal RNA is filed under the name uncultured bacterium. RNAcentral's name for it is "partial 16S ribosomal RNA". It matches the Rfam family "Bacterial small subunit ribosomal RNA", at positions 96 to 334 of the family's 1533-position model. The record is from RNAcentral.